UGCUUCGCUGACGAGUGGCGGACGGGUGAGUAAUGUCUGGGAAACUGCCUGAUGGAGGGGGAUAACUACUGGAAACGGUAGCUAAUACCGCAUAACGUCGCAAGACCAAAGAGGGGGACCUUCGGGCCUCUUGCCAUCGGAUGUGCCCAGAUGGGAUUAGCUAGUAGGUGGGGUAACGGCUCACCUAGGCGACGAUCCCUAGCUGGUCUGAGAGGAUGACCAGCCACACUGGAACUGAGACACGGUCCAGACUCCUACGGGAGGCAGCAGUGGGGAAUAUUGCACAAUGGGCGCAAGCCUGAUGCAGCCAUGCCGCGUGUAUGAAGAAGGCCUUCGGGUUGUAAAGUACUUUCAGCGGGGAGGAAGGCGACAAGGUUAAUAACCUUGUCGAUUGACGUUACCCGCAGAAGAAGCACCGGCUAACUCCGUGCCAGCAGCCGCGGUAAUACGGAGGGUGCAAGCGUUAAUCGGAAUUACUGGGCGUAAAGCGCACGCAGGCGGUCUGUCAAGUCGGAUGUGAAAUCCCCGGGCUCAACCUGGGAACUGCAUUCGAAACUGGCAGGCUAGAGUCUUGUAGAGGGGGGUAGAAUUCCAGGUGUAGCGGUGAAAUGCGUAGAGAUCUGGAGGAAUACCGGUGGCGAAGGCGGCCCCCUGGACAAAGACUGACGCUCAGGUGCGAAAGCGUGGGGAGCAGACAGGAUUAGAUACCCUGGUAGUCCACGCCGUAAACGAUGUCGACUUGGAGGUUGUGCCCUUGAGGCGUGGCUUCCGGAGCUAACGCGUUAAGUCGACCGCCUGGGG
This 801-nucleotide ribosomal RNA is filed under the name uncultured bacterium. RNAcentral's name for it is "bacterial SSU rRNA". It matches the Rfam family "Bacterial small subunit ribosomal RNA", at positions 81 to 878 of the family's 1533-position model. The record is from RNAcentral.